GAUGAACGCUGGCUACAGGCUUAACACAUGCAAGUCGAGGGGAAACGACGGGGAAGCUUGCUUCCCCGGGCGUCGACCGGCGCACGGGUGAGUAACGCGUAUCCAACCUGCCUCUGACUGAGGGAUAACCCGUCGAAAGUCGGCCUAAUACCUCAUGGCAUCGUCUGCGGGCAUCCAACGACGAUUAAAGAUUUCAUCGGUCAGAGAUGGGGAUGCGUCUGAUUAGCUUGUUGGCGGGGUAACGGCCCACCAAGGCGACGAUCAGUAGGGGUUCUGAGAGGAAGGUCCCCCACAUUGGAACUGAGACACGGUCCAAACUCCUACGGGAGGCAGCAGUGAGGAAGAUUGGUCAAUGGGCGAGAGCCUGAACCAGCCAAGUAGCGUGCAGGAUGACGGCCCUAUGGGUUGUAAACUGCUUUUAUGCGGGGAUAAAGUGAGGGACGUGUCCUUCAUUGCAGGUACCGCAUGAAUAAGAACCGGCUAAUUCCGUG
This 491-nucleotide ribosomal RNA is filed under the name uncultured bacterium. Its description in RNAcentral is "partial 16S ribosomal RNA". It matches the Rfam family "Bacterial small subunit ribosomal RNA", at positions 28 to 507 of the family's 1533-position model. The record is from RNAcentral.